AACGGUAACAGGUCUUCGGAUGCUGACGAGUGGCGAACGGGUGAGUAAUACAUCGGAACGUGCCUAGUAGUGGGGGAUAACUACUCGAAAGAGUAGCUAAUACCGCAUGAGAUCUACGGAUGAAAGCAGGGGACCUUCGGGCCUUGUGCUACUAGAGCGGCUGAUGGCAGAUUAGGUAGUUGGUGGGGUAAAGGCUUACCAAGCCUGCGAUCUGUAGCUGGUCUGAGAGGACGACCAGCCACACUGGGACUGAGACACGGCCCAGACUCCUACGGGAGGCAGCAGUGGGGAAUUUUGGACAAUGGGCGAAAGCCUGAUCCAGCAAUGCCGCGUGCAGGAUGAAGGCCCUCGGGUUGUAAACUGCUUUUGUACGGAACGAAAAGCCUGGGGCUAAUACCCCCGGGUCAUGACGGUACCGUAAGAAUAAGCACCGGCUAACUACGUGCCAGCAGCCGCGGUAAUACGUAGGGUGCAAGCGUUAAUCGGAAUUACUGGGCGUAAAGCGUGCGCAGGCGGUUUUGUAAGACAGUGGUGAAAUCCCCGGGCUCAACCUGGGAACUGCCAUUGUGACUGCAAGGCUAGAGUGCGGCAGAGGGGGAUGGAAUUCCGCGUGUAGCAGUGAAAUGCGUAGAUAUGCGGAGGAACACCGAUGGCGAAGG
RNAcentral lists this ribosomal RNA (659 nucleotides) under uncultured beta proteobacterium. Its description in RNAcentral is "bacterial SSU rRNA". It matches the Rfam family "Bacterial small subunit ribosomal RNA", at positions 65 to 721 of the family's 1533-position model. The record is from RNAcentral. Lineage: Bacteria; Pseudomonadati; Pseudomonadota; Betaproteobacteria.